UAAAAACACAAAAAGAUCUUCGCAAUUGGGAUACGACUAUCUAUUAAAUAGUAGCAAACUUUUCAAUUGGUUUCCACAUUCGUUUAGUCAUCAACAGUUCCAUAUAGCAAAUUCGACAUAUCUUAAUUGGUCUAUGGAAAAUAAUUUACUAUUUGCAAAAAAACAUAACUUGAAUAUCAACACCGGUUACGCAGUAUCUCCGAAACAUUCCGGCAUUUACCCAAUUUAUAAUAAUUUGUUUAAAUAUUGGAAUAAAAUAUUUAAUAUAACAGUCACCAGCACUAUUAAUUACCCUAAUAUGUAUCCUAAAUCUCAAAGAAAAGGU
Long non-coding RNA from Gordionus sp. m RMFG-2023, 325 nucleotides. RefSeq lists it as uncharacterized. The transcript is spliced from 3 exons. The record is from RefSeq and is a predicted model, not a curated record. Lineage: Eukaryota; Metazoa; Nematomorpha; Gordioida; Chordodea; Parachordodidae.